RNAcentral lists this ribosomal RNA (253 nucleotides) under uncultured Oscillospira sp. RNAcentral's name for it is "partial 16S ribosomal RNA". It matches the Rfam family "Bacterial small subunit ribosomal RNA", at positions 524 to 776 of the family's 1533-position model. The record is from RNAcentral. Lineage: Bacteria; Bacillati; Bacillota; Clostridia; Eubacteriales; Oscillospiraceae.
UACGUAGGUGGCAAGCGUUAUCCGGAUUUACUGGGUGUAAAGGGCGUGUAGGCGGGAGAGCAAGUCAGACGUGAAAUUCCAGGGCUCAACCCUGGAACUGCAUUUGAAACUGUCAGUCUUGAGUACCGGAGAGGUCAUCGGAAUUCCUUGUGUAGCGGUGAAAUGCGUAGAUAUAAGGAAGAACACCAGUGGCGAAGGCGGAUGACUGGACGGCAACUGACGGUGAGGCGCGAAAGCGUGGGGAGCAAACAGG